CAGAGUUCAUGCCCUUCGGGGUAGAUCUCCCACCCUGUGUAUUUAUACCUUUGUUGCUUUGGCGGGCCGUCAGGCCUCGGCUCGACUACCGGCUCCGGCUGGUAAGCGCCCGCCAGAGGACCCAAAACUCUGAAUGUCAAUGUCGUCUGAGUACUAUAUAAUAGUUA
This 167-nucleotide unclassified non-coding RNA is filed under the name uncultured Helotiales. Its description in RNAcentral is "sequence contains ITS1". The record is from RNAcentral. Lineage: Eukaryota; Fungi; Ascomycota; Leotiomycetes; Helotiales.